UUGCACCUCUGGCGUCGAGCGGCGGACGGGUGAGUAAUGCUUGGGAAUAUGCCUUAUGGUGGGGGACAACAGUUGGAAACGACUGCUAAUACCGCAUGAUGUCUACGGACCAAAGUGGGGGACCUUCGGGCCUCACGCCAUAAGAUUAGCCCAAGUGGGAUUAGCUAGUUGGUGAGGUAAUGGCUCACCAAGGCGACGAUCCCUAGCUGGUUUGAGAGGAUGAUCAGCCACACUGGGACUGAGACACGGCCCAGACUCCUACGGGAGGCAGCAGUGGGGAAUAUUGCACAAUGGGCGCAAGCCUGAUGCAGCCAUGCCGCGUGUGUGAAGAAGGCCUUCGGGUUGUAAAGCACUUUCAGUAAGGAGGAAAGGUUAAGUGUUAAUAGCACUUAGCUGUGACGUUACUUACAGAAGAAGCACCGGCUAACUCCGUGCCAGCAGCCGCGGUAAUACGGAGGGUGCGAGCGUUAAUCGGAAUUACUGGGCGUAAAGCGUACGCAGGCGGUUUGUUAAGCGAGAUGUGAAAGCCCCGGGCUCAACCUGGGAACUGCAUUUCGAACUGGCAAACUAGAGUGUGAUAGAGGGUGGUAGAAUUUCAG
Molecule: ribosomal RNA, 599 nt
Filed under: Pseudoalteromonas shioyasakiensis
Lineage: Bacteria; Pseudomonadati; Pseudomonadota; Gammaproteobacteria; Alteromonadales; Pseudoalteromonadaceae
Description: bacterial SSU rRNA
Rfam family: Bacterial small subunit ribosomal RNA
Source: RNAcentral